RNAcentral lists this long non-coding RNA (110 nucleotides) under Dasypus novemcinctus (nine-banded armadillo). Its description in RNAcentral is "lncRNA (ENSDNOG00000051244.1)". Lineage: Eukaryota; Metazoa; Chordata; Mammalia; Cingulata; Dasypodidae. The record is from RNAcentral.
GAUACACACUGUCCCUUUAGAGGAACUCUCGCCUUCUCCUUUUUUCAGUUGACAGUAAAGUUCUUUGUUACAGAGUGAAUUUCCGGACUAUACUGAAGAGAGACCAGCAA